CGUAGGGUGCGAGCGUUAAUCGGAAUUACUGGGCGUAAAGCGUGCGCAGGCGGUUUUGUAAGACAGAUGUGAAAUCCCCGGGCUCAACCUGGGACCUGCAUUUGUGACUGCAAGGCUAGAGUACGGUAGAGGGGGAUGGAAUUCCGCGUGUAGCAGUGAAAUGCGUAGAUAUGCGGAGGAACACCGAUGGCGAAGGCAAUCCCCUGGACCUGUACUGACGCUCAUGCACGAAAGCGUGGGGAGCAAACAGGAUUAGAUACCCUGGUAGUCCACGCCUAAACGACGUCAACUGGUUGUUGGGUCUUUACUGACUCAGUAACGAAGCUAACGCGUGAAGUUGACCGCCUGGGGAGUACGGCCGCAAGGUUG
Molecule: ribosomal RNA, 369 nt
Filed under: uncultured organism
Description: bacterial SSU rRNA
Rfam family: Bacterial small subunit ribosomal RNA
Source: RNAcentral